GGGCUGAUAGUUCAGUCCGGUAGAACGCUUCGUUCGCAACGAAGAGGCCGUGGGUUCAAAUCCCACUCAGUCCA
This 74-nucleotide transfer RNA is filed under the name Nanobdellati archaeon. RNAcentral's name for it is "tRNA-Ala". It matches the Rfam family "tRNA". Rfam says of the family: Transfer RNA (tRNA) molecules are approximately 80 nucleotides in length. Lineage: Archaea; Nanobdellati. The record is from RNAcentral.